RNAcentral lists this ribosomal RNA (497 nucleotides) under uncultured bacterium. RNAcentral describes it as "partial 16S ribosomal RNA". It matches the Rfam family "Bacterial small subunit ribosomal RNA", at positions 28 to 507 of the family's 1533-position model. The record is from RNAcentral.
GAUGAACGCUGGCGGCGUGCCUAAUACAUGCGAGUCGAGCGAACGGACGAGAAGCUUGCUUCUCUGAUGUUAGCGGCGGACGGGUGAGAAACACGUGGAUAACCUACCUAUAAGACUGGGAUAACUUCGGGAAACCGGAGCUAAUACCGGAUGAUAUUUUGAACCGCAUGGUUCAAAAGUGAAAGACGGUCUUGCUGUCACUUAUAGAUGGAUCCGCGCUGCAUUAGCUAGUUGGUAAGGUAACGGCUUACCAAGGCAACGAUGCAUAGCCGACCUGAGAGGGUGAUCGGCCACACUGGAACUGAGACACGGUCCAGACUCCUACGGGAGGCAGCAGUAGGGAAUCUUCCGCAAUGGGCGAAAGCCUGACGGAGCAACGCCGCGUGAGUGAUGAAGGUCUUCGGAUCGUAAAACUCUGUUAUUAGGGAAGAACAUAUGUGUAAGUAACUGUGCACAUCUUGACGGUACCUAAUCAGAAAGCCACGGCUAACUACGUG